UACGAAGGGGGCUAGCGUUGCUCGGAAUCACUGGGCGUAAAGGGUGCGUAGGCGGGCCUUUAAGUCAGGGGUGAAAUCCUGGAGCUCAACUCCAGAACUGCCUUUGAUACUGAAGAUCUUGAGUUCGGGAGAGGUGAGUGGAACUGCGAGUGUAGAGGUGAAAUUCGUAGAUAUUCGCAAGAACACCAGUGGCGAAGGCGGCUCACUGGCCCGAAACUGACGCUGAGGCACGAAAGCGUGGGGAGCAAACAGG
Molecule: ribosomal RNA, 253 nt
Filed under: uncultured bacterium
Lineage: Bacteria
Description: partial 16S ribosomal RNA
Rfam family: Bacterial small subunit ribosomal RNA
Source: RNAcentral